UCGAGAAUCUUCCGCAAUGGACGAAAGUCUGACGGAGCGACGCCGCGUGUGGGAUGAAGGCCUUCGGGUUGUAAAGCUCUUUCGGACGGGACGAAAUGGUUACGGUGAAUAACUGUGACUGAUGACGGUACCGUAAUAAGAAGCACCGGCUAACUACGUGCCAGCAGCCGCGGUAAUACGUAGGGUGCGAGCGUUAAUCGGAAUUACUGGGCGUAAAGCGUGCGCAGGCGGUUCGCCAAGUCAGGUGUGAAAUCCCCGGGCUUAACCUGGGAAUUGCGCUUGAAACUAGCGGGCUUGAGUGUGGCAGAGGGGGGUGGAAUUCCACGUGUAGCAGUGAAAUGCGUAGAGAUGUGGAGGAACACCGAUGGCGAAGGCAGCCCCCUGGGUCAACACUGACGCUCAUGCACGAAAGCGUGGGGAGCAAACAGGAUUAGAUACCCCCGUAGUCCCUGAGCGGGCUGGCAAGGCGCAU
Molecule: ribosomal RNA, 472 nt
Filed under: uncultured bacterium
Lineage: Bacteria
Description: bacterial SSU rRNA
Rfam family: Bacterial small subunit ribosomal RNA
Source: RNAcentral